UUUCACGAGUCAGUCAGCUGUUCGGUUCUGGUUUGAUGUCAACCAAAUAGCGUUACACUUGUGAUAGAUCAAUAAAUGCGACAGUGCCACGCCCCCGCCCAACUGUAGUCACUGUUCUAGUGUCUACGCCGGGUAAUGGUGUGUGUGGCACUUGGUCGGCGCACUCCCCUAGAGAGUUGACUCAGUUGAAGGUGG
Molecule: small nucleolar RNA, 195 nt
Filed under: Drosophila persimilis
Lineage: Eukaryota; Metazoa; Arthropoda; Insecta; Diptera; Drosophilidae
Description: snoRNA:GL27902
Source: RNAcentral